GAUGAACGCUGGCGGCGUGCCUAAUACAUGCAAGUCGAGCGAACAGAUAAGGAGCUUGCUCCUUUGACGUUAGCGGCGGACGGGUGAGUAACACGUGGGUAACCUACCUAUAAGACUGGAAUAACUCCGGGAAACCGGGGCUAAUGCCGGAUAACAUUUAGAACCGCAUGGUUCUAAAGUGAAAGAUGGUUUUGCUAUCACUUAUAGAUGGACCCGCGCCGUAUUAGCUAGUUGGUAAGGUAACGGCUUACCAAGGCAACGAUACGUAGCCGACCUGAGAGGGUGAUCGGCCACACUGGAACUGAGACACGGUCCAGACUCCUACGGGAGGCAGCAGUAGGGAAUCUUCCGCAAUGGGCGAAAGCCUGACGGAGCAACGCCGCGUGAGUGAUGAAGGUCUUCGGAUCGUAAAACUCUGUUAUUAGGGAAGAACAAAUGUGUAAGUAUCUGUGCACGUCUUGACGGUACCUAAUCAGAAAGCCACGGCUAACUACGUG
This 497-nucleotide ribosomal RNA is filed under the name uncultured bacterium. RNAcentral's name for it is "partial 16S ribosomal RNA". It matches the Rfam family "Bacterial small subunit ribosomal RNA", at positions 28 to 507 of the family's 1533-position model. The record is from RNAcentral.